GCUUGUCUCAAAGAUUAAGCCAUGCAUGUCUUAGUGUAAAUAACUCUUAUGAAACUGCGAAUGGCUCAUUAAAUCAGUUAUCGUUUAUUUGAUGGUCCCUUACUACAUGGAUAACCGUAGUAAUUCUAGAGCUAAUACAUGCACAAAGGCCCGACUUCGGGAGGGGUGUAUUUAUUAGAUAAAAAACCAAUGCCCUUCGGGGCUCCUUGGUGAUUCAUAAUAACUUAACGAAUCGCAUGGCCUUGCGCCGGCGAUGGUUCAUUCAAAUUUCUGCCCUAUCAACUUUCGAUUGUAGGAUAGAGGCCUACAAUGGUCUUAACGGGUAACGGGGAAUUAGGGUUCUAUUCCGGAGAGGGAGCCUGAGAAACGGCUACCACAUCCAAGGAAGGCAGCAGG
Molecule: ribosomal RNA, 396 nt
Filed under: uncultured Exophiala
Lineage: Eukaryota; Fungi; Ascomycota; Eurotiomycetes; Chaetothyriales; Herpotrichiellaceae
Description: partial small subunit ribosomal RNA
Rfam family: Eukaryotic small subunit ribosomal RNA
Source: RNAcentral